ACUCCCUAAUUUACUGUUGCCAAUCAAAUGAAACCUAAUAUUAGGCUUUAUCCAAAUGUGAAAAGCAAAACCUGAAGCGCCCAACGGCGCACACCCAAACAACAAACACAGCAAGUCGCCAGAUAUUUCAAUCAAACACCACCAUUUCAUUUCAAAUUCAAUAUAGUUACAACAAAGCCCAAAACACCAAAAAGCCGUAAAACAUACCCAUUAGCCUAACCCAUAAGAUUACUUACAAUAAUCCCUAAACCCAAAAACUACCAACUUCCCCAUCUAAAACGCCUACCCAAAACGCCAUAAUUUCUUGACUGCAAGACUUACAAUCAGAAUCAAAAGCCCUAACCACCAAACCCAUAUAGGGUUCUGCCCUGUCUCUUCAGUGCAUAAACCACAUCCAUGGCUGUAACAGUCUUACGGCGAGCGUGUUCGGUGUACGUCACAGCAUCUCUGAUCACAUUCUCAAGGAAGAU
RNAcentral lists this unclassified non-coding RNA (470 nucleotides) under Hevea brasiliensis (rubber tree). Lineage: Eukaryota; Viridiplantae; Streptophyta; Magnoliopsida; Malpighiales; Euphorbiaceae. The record is from RNAcentral.